Molecule: long non-coding RNA, 7315 nt
Filed under: Homo sapiens (human)
Lineage: Eukaryota; Metazoa; Chordata; Mammalia; Primates; Hominidae
Description: small nucleolar RNA host gene 14
Source: RNAcentral
AAAAUGUCCCUCAGCCAGGUGCUUAGCCCCUGGUAAUCUGAAGCUCAGGCCCUUCCUGAUGCCCUGGUCUCCUGCACUGAGCUGUGUGAGCUCUUCAGCCCAGGUGGGCUCCCUGACACUGAUGCGCAUAGAUGGUGAGCCUGGAGGAAGACUUGCAUUGGGCCCAAUGGACCCAGGCCAGUGGCCAUCAGCCAGGUGCCCACCCUGGUGUGCUGAAGCGCGGGACCUACCUGUUGUCCUGGUUUCCUACACUGAGCUGAGUGAGCUCUUCAACCCAGGCGGGGCACCCUGGCAUUCACCAGCAUAGACUGUGAAAUGGGAGGAAGAAUUGUGUUGGGCCCAAUGGCCCUGGGCCAGUAUCCGUCAGCCUGGUGUCCAGCCCCUGGUGUGCUGAAGCUCAUGCCCUUCCUGGUGCCCUAGUUUCCUGCACUGAGCUUGUGAGCUCUUUUGCCCAGAAGACUCCCUGGCAUUGAUCGGCAUAGAUGGCAGCGCUGGAGGAGGACUUGUACUGGGGCCGCUGGCCCCACAUCAGUGUCCGUCAUCCCGGCGUCCAGCCCCUGGUGUGCUGAAGCUCAGGCCCUUCCUUGUGCCCUAGUCUCCUGCACUGAGCUUGUGAGCUCUUCUGCUCAGGCGGGUCCCCUGGCAUUGACCAGCAUAGGUAAGUGGAUCCUGCUGGGUUCAUGGGCCAUGAGCCAGACCACAUGGAGUGACUGAGGGUCAGCCUUCAGGACAGGAAGAUUUCCUCGGGGAGCCAACCUGAAUCCCCACCGUGGAGGGAUGUGUUAGUCCUCCAGGAGGGUGGCUUCCUAGGGAAUCUGACCCCAGGAGGACACCUUUGCUGAAGCCCUGCAGGGGUGAUGGUGGUCCAGGCUGGAAAGUUUUCCUUCAGUCUCAUGUGGGGCAGCUCCCUGCUGACAUUCCGUGCCUGCGUCUGACCUUGAGGACUGCCCGGGCCACAUGAGUGGGGCAACAAGGGCUCCAGGGUGCCACGGGGAUUAUGAGUGGGGCUCUCCAUCCCCGGAGAGAGGUGGGCAAUCAGGCCCAUGUGGUCAGGCUUGUAGGGUUCGGUGGUGGGGAGAGCCAAGGUUUCCCUGGGUCCAUUACCGUCACUGUUUCACCUGGAUCCCAUCACAUGGGUCCAUGGAGGGAGAGCAUGUGUGAACAGGCACCCCUUGCUCCCUUUCCCACAUGAGCCCCUGGUUGGACAUAUGUCCUCCUCCUGUCCCCCCAGAUGGUGGCCCUGGAGGAGGACUUGUAUUGGGGCCACUGGCCCCACGUCAGUGUUCGUCAGCCUGGCAUCCAGCCCCUGGUGUGCUGAAGCUCAGGCCCUUCCUGUUGCCCUAGUCUCCUGCACUGAGCUUGUGAGCUCUUCUGCCCAGGUGGUCCCCCUGGUCUUGAUGGGCAUAGGGUGAGGCCCUGUUUGGACCCAUCUUCCAGCUAUCUCACCAGAUGGUGAGCCCAGAGGAAGACCCCGUGGCUCUGGGCCAGUGUGCGUCAGCCAGGUCCCCAGCCCCCAGUGUGCUGAAGCUCAGGCCCUUCCCAACGCCCUGGUCUCCUGCACUGAGUGAGCUCUUCCGCCCAUUUGGGCCCUCUGACAUUGACCGGCAUAGAUGGUGAGCUCGGAGGAAGACUUGCAUUGGGCCCAAUGGAGCUGGGCCAGUUUCUGUCAGCCAGGUCCCCAGCUCCUGAUGCACUGAAGCUCAGGCCCUUCCUGGAGCCCUGGUCUCCUGCCCUGAGCUGUGAUGGUGAGCCUGAAGGAAGACUUGCAUCAGGACCAAUGGACCCUGGCAAGUGUCCGUCAGCCAGGUGCUCAGCCCCUGGUGCACUGAAGCUCAGGCCCUUCCUGGCCCCUUGAUCUCCUGCACUGAGCUGUGUGAGCUCUUCUGCCAAGGGGGGGCCUCCUGGCAUUGACCAACAUAGAUGGUGAGCCUGGAGGAAGAUUUGCAUUGGGCCCAAUGGCCCUGGGCCAGUGUCUGUCAGCCAGUUUCCCAGCCCCUGGUGCACUGAAGCUCAGGCCUUUCCUGGCAUCCUGGCCUCCUGCACUGAGCUGUGUGAGUGCUUCUGCCCAGGCAGGCCACUUGGCAUUGACCGGUAUAGAUGGUGACCCUGAAGAAAGACUUCAGUUGGGCCUGAAGGCCCCGGGCCAGUGUCCAUCAUCCAGGUGCUCAGCUCCCAGUGCACUGAAGCUCAGACCCUUCCUGGUUCCCUGGUCUCUUGCACUGAGCUCUGAUGGUGAGACUUGAGGAAGACUUCCACUGGGCCUGCUUUUCCUGAGCCAGUGCCCAUCACCCAGGUGCUCAGUCCCUGGUGCACUGAAGCUCCAGCCCUUCCUGGCGCCCUGGUCUCCUGAACUGAGCUGUGUGAGCUCUUCUGCCAAGCGGUUCCCCUGGCAUUGACCAACAUAGAUGGUGAGCCUGGAGGAAGACUUGCGUUGGGCCCAAAGGCCCUAGACCAGUGUCUGUCAGCCAGGUUCCCAACCCCCGAUGCGCUGAAGCUCAAGCCUUUCCUGGCACCCUGGUCUCCUGCACUGAGCUGUGUGAGCUCUUCUGCCCAGGCGGGCCCCCUGGAAUUGAUGGGUAUAGAUGGUGACCCCGGAGGAAAAUUUGUGUUGGGCCCACUAUCCCUGGGCCAAUGUCAGUCAGCUAGGCACCCAGCCCCCAGUGCGCUGAAGCUCAGGACCUUCCUAGUGCCCUCGGCUCCUGCACUGAGCUCUGAUGGUAAGCCUGGAGGAAGACUUGUGUUGGGCCCACAGGCCCCAGGCCAAUGUCUGUCAGCCAGGUGCUCAGCCUCUGGUGCGCUGAAACUCUGACCCUUCCUGGCACACUGGUCUCCUGCACUGAGCUGGGAUUUUCCACCUAGGAGGUCCACCUGGCAUUGACUGACAUAGAUGGUGAGACUUCUGUCGGCCUCGCUUUUCCUGGGCCAGUGUCCAUCAGCCAGGUGCUCAGCCCCAGUGCACUGAAGCUCCAGCCCUUCCUGGCGCCCUGGACUGAGCUGUGUGAGCUCUUCUGCCAAGGGGGUCCUCCUGGCAUUGACCAACAUAGGUGGUGAGCCUGGAGGAAGACUUGCAUUGGGCCCAAUGGCCCUGGACCAGUGUCUGUCAGCCAGGUUCCCAGCCCCCGAUGCGCUGAAGCUCAAGCCUUUCCUGGCACCCUGGUCUCCUGCACUGAGCUGUGUGAGCUCUUCGGCCCAAGUGGUCCCCCCGGCCUUAAGCGGCAUAGAUGGUGAGCCUGGAGGAAGACUCGUGUUGGGCCCACAGGCCCCAGGCCAGUGUACGUCAGCCAGGUGCUCAGCCCAUGGUGUGCUGAAGCUCUGACCCUUCCUGACUCCGUGGUCUCCUGCACUGAGCUGUGAUGACCAUAUCCAGUGAGCUCUUCCAAACAGGUGGGCUCCCUAGCAUUGACCGACAGAGUGAGCUCUGCCACCCAGGACAUCCCCCUGGCAUUGACUGGCAUAGAUGCUGACCCUGGAGGAAGACUUGUGUCGGGCCCCCAGGCCCCAGGCCAGUGUCCAUCAGCCAGGUGCUCAGCUCCCAGUGCGCUGAAGCUCAGACCCUUCCUGGCACCCUGGUGUCCAGCACUGAGCUGUGUGAGCUUUUCCACCCAGGUGGGCCCCCUGGCAUUGACCGACAUAGUGGCAGGGAGAGCCAAGGGUGCCCCACAUUGGUGACGAGUCAGUAUUUUGCAUGGAUCUCAUCACACGUGACCAUGAAGGACGAGCAAGCAUGAGCUGGCACCAGCCACCCCCUUCUCCGCGUGGAGGGUGGUCACAUGUCCUCCACCUGUGCCCCCAGAUGAUGAGACUGGAGGAAGACUUCCAUUGGGCCCACUUUUCCUGGGCCAGUGUCCAUCAGCCAGGUGCUCAGCCCCUGGUGUACUGAAGCUCCAGCCUUUCCUGGUGCCCCAGUCUUCUGCACUAAGCUGUGUGAGCUCUUCCACCCAGGAGGGCCCCUUGGCAUUGACUGGCAUAGAUGGUGAGACGGGAGGAAGACUUGUGUUGGGCCUGCUGUUCCUGGGCCAGUGGCCAUCAGCCUGUUGCCCAGCCCCUGAGGCGCUGAAGCUCAGGCCCUUCCUCACACCCUGGUCUCCUGCACUAGCUGUGUGAGCUCUUCUGCCCAGGUGGGGCCCAUGGCCUUACACGACAUAGGAGCACGCAUUUCUUGAAGUCCUGCAAAGGUGAUGGUGGUCCAGACAGGAGAGGGUUCCUUCAGCCCAACAUAGCGCAGCUCCCAGCUGAAACUCGGAAGGCUGGUCAGGCCUCGAGGACUGCCCAGGCCACAUGAGGGUUUGGUGGCCGGGAGGGCCAAUGAUGCUCUGCGUCUGUGUUGGAUCAGUGUUCUUCAUGGAUUCCAUCACAUGGUGAGCCUUGAGGAAGACUUGUAUUGGGCCCCCACAGGCCCCAGGCCAGUGUCCGUCAGCCUGGUGCUCACCCCCAGUGUGCUGAAGCUCAGACCCUCCGUGGCACCCUGGUCUCCUGCACUGAGCUGUGUGAACUUUUCCUCCCAGAUGGGCCCCCUGGCAUUGACUGGCAUAGAUGGUGAGACCGGAGGAAGACUUGCAUUGGGCCUGUUGUUCCUGGGCCAGUGGCCAUCAGCCUGUUGCCCAGCCCCUGAUGCGCUGAAGCUCGGGCCCUUCCUCGCGCCCUGGUCUCCUGCACUGAGCUGUGUGAGCUCUUCUGCCCAGGUGAGGCCCAUGGCCUUAAGCGGCAUAGAUGGUGAGUCUGGAGGAAGACUUGUGUUGGACCCCCACAGGCCCCAGGCCAGUGUCCAUCAGCCUGGUGCUAAUCCCCCAGUGCUCUGGAGUUUGGACCCUCCCUGGCACCCUGGUCUCCUGCACUGAGCUGUGUGAGCUCUUCCACCCGGGCGGGCCCCCGGCAUUGACUGGCAUAGGUGGUGAGCCCGGAGGAGGACUUGCGUUCGGCCCGCUGGUCCCAGUGUGUCCGGAAUUGGUGGGUUCUUGGUCUCACUGACUUCAAGAAUGAAGCUGCGGACCCUCGCUAUGAUGAUAUGGAAGAAAAGCACUCUUUGGCCUGUUGUGACUGGGACAGUUGACAGCACCCAGGUGUCCUUUAAUGAAAAUGCUCUUGACACCAAUGCAUCCUAGCAUCACAGCUUCAGGAAGCCUUCUCAAGUGUGCAUGGGGAGUACUAUGUCUUUCAUCAAUAAUGAAAUCUUCUGAUUUGUAAGACAUGCUGCCAAGAGAUGUGCCAUUCUAUUAUAAAAGAUCAGUAGCUUCCUUUACCGACGUGUAUAUUCUAUCUAGAACAUUGAGCUAUGGAAGACUCCCACCUAAGGGAAUUAGUUUUACACCUUCAGAUAAAGACUGCUGAGAAGAGCACCCUCUGGUGUUGUCACAGAGGCAAGUGCUACCGCACAGGCAUGCUGCAGUGAAUUUAACUGAUCCUCUGUCCCUGCAACCGUUGUUUAAGGAUGCUAUUCUGAAAAGACUGUGGAGGAAGAAAACCCUUUACCCUGUUGUUCAGGGAGAAACUGACACCACUCAACUGCCUGGCACUGAAAAUGUGGCAUCCAGUCCACUUUACCAUCAGUGUUUAAGGAAACCAUCUCUGAUAAGGAUGACUGAGGAAGAGUACUCUUUGGCUUGUUGACACCAGCACAGCUGACACACCCAGAUAUCUGUUUGGUCUCCUGUGAACUUUCAACCAGGAUUUAAGGAUGCCACUCUGGUUAAAAGCUGAAACAACUUCAAGGAAACUUCAGGGAAAAGAGAAGGCCUGGAAUCUGAUCCUCCACUUCAGAGAACAGGGGUGGUGGAGUCUAUGGCCCUUCUCCUUGAAUCUGAGUGAAAUUAGUGAGUCUUUCAAUCCAAAGACUACAGUCAUACCUCAACUAUCUACAGAGGACUGGUUCCAGGACUCCCAUGGAUCCCAAAAUCCAAGGAUGCUUCGAAUCCCUUAUAUAAAAUGGCAUGGUAUUUGCAUAUAACCUACAUGCAUCUUCAAAUAUGUUAAACCAUCUCUAGAUUACUUAUAAUACCAAAUACAAUGUAAUGCUAUGUAAACAGUUGUUACAAUGUAUUGUCAAAGACAAGCUCUCCUUGCCAAUCCCUGACCAAAUGAGAGAUUCAUGAGCAAAAUAAAUAGUUGCUGAUAUUUAAGGCACUAAGUUUGGGGCAAUGUAUUACACAGCAAUAAAUAACUGGAACAGCAUAGUAAAUUCUAGUUAAAAAUACUAAACUACUAAGUUUUAGUUAACAUACAUGCUCAAGUUAAGGGUGUGGUAUACUAACAACUGCAACUUACUUUGAAAAGCAUAAAAAAAGACACUAGAAGAAGACAGGAUGGAUAGAUGGACAAGAUAGAAGACAAUAACAAAUAGAACAAAAUGUUGUGAAAUUAUAUUCUACAAUUAUUUUAAAGUCUGUGUGGUUUGAAAAAUUGUACGAUAAAAUGAAGAGUGAAAUAAAGACAUUUCCAUACAAACAAAAGCUGAAAGAUUUUGUAGCCAGUAGACCUAUACUUUAGAAAUGUUUAAGAAAUUUUUUCAAGUAAAAGGAAAAUAACACCAGCAACAAACUUGGAUCUACAAAAAGGAAUCUCCACAAAGAAAAAUAAAUAAAAAUGGUAAAUAUGAAGGUAAAUAUAAAGGAAUGUUAUUCUUAGUUUUUAAGUUUCUUCGUAAGACAACUGGCCUUUGAAAGAAAUAGUUUCAAACGCUGCUGUGGAAUCUAUAACACAUAUAGAAGUAAAAUGUUAAGAUCAUAAUACCAAAAAGAAUGAGGGAGAGUAAAUGGAUGUAUACUAUUCCAAAAUUCUUACAUUAUACAUUAAGAGGAAUAAUAUUUUUGAAGGUAGAUUGAGGUAAGUUAAAGGUGCAUAUUGUAAAUCCUAGAAGUAUCACUGGGGGGAAAAAAAACAGAGGGACAAGCUAAUAAUGGAGACAAUACAAAAUUCCAAAAAUGCUCCAUUAACCGAAAAGAAGGCAGAAAAGGAAGAAAAGAUUAGACAAAUAGAAAACAAAUAGUGUCUUAAACACAAUUAUAUUGCCAACUGCAAUAAAUGUAAAUGGACUUAAUCAAAAAGCAACGAUCGUAAAAAGUCAAUCUGAAAGCAAGAUGCAACUAUAUGCUAUCUAAAAGAAAGACAUUAAAUGACCAAUAAGCUGAAAAUAAAAACACAGCAAAAUGAUAUAAUGUGCAAAAAUUAAUCAUAAGAAAGGAAUGGAUACACUAAUAUCAAAGUAGACUUUAGAUAAGGAACAUUACCAGCGAUAAACAGAGACAUUUCAUAAUGAUAAAGACAUCAAUUAAUCAAGGAGAUCUAACAGUCCUAAAUGUGAACACACCUAAGGACACAA